This 429-nucleotide ribosomal RNA is filed under the name Gemmatimonadota bacterium. RNAcentral's name for it is "Gemmatimonadetes bacterium partial 16S ribosomal RNA". It matches the Rfam family "Bacterial small subunit ribosomal RNA", at positions 355 to 776 of the family's 1533-position model. Lineage: Bacteria; Pseudomonadati; Gemmatimonadota. The record is from RNAcentral.
UAGGGAAUCUUCGGCAAUGGACGAAAGUCUGACCGAGCAACGCCGCGUGAGUGAAGAAGUUUUUCGGAUCGUAAAACUCUGUUGUUAGAGAAGAACAAGGACGUUAGUAACUGAACGUCCCCUGACGGUAUCUAACCAGAAAGCCACGGCUAACUACGUGCCAGCAGCCGCGGUAAUACGUAGGUGGCAAGCGUUGUCCGGAUUUAUUGGGCGUAAAGCGAGCGCAGGCGGUUUCUUAAGUCUGAUGUGAAAGCCCCCGGCUCAACCGGGGAGGGUCAUUGGAAACUGGGAGACUUGAGUGCAGAAGAGGAGAGUGGAAUUCCAUGUGUAGCGGUGAAAUGCGUAGAUAUAUGGAGGAACACCAGUGGCGAAGGCGGCUGUCUGGUCUGUAACUGACGCUGAGGCUAGAAAGCGUGGGGAGCAAACAGG